UGGGGAAUAUUGGACAAUGGGCGCAAGCCUGAUCCAGCAACGCCGCGUGGAGGACGAAGGUCUUCGGAUCGUAAACUCCUGUCAGGCGGGACGAAGGCUUCCGGGCAAAUAGUCUGGAAGCUUGACGGUACUGCCAGAGGAAGCCCCGGCUAACUCCGUGCCAGCAGCCGCGGUAAUACGGAGGGUGCAAGCGUUAUCCGGAUUCACUGGGUUUAAAGGGUGCGUAGGAGGGCAGGUAAGUCAGUGGUGAAAUCUCCGAGCUUAACUCGGAAACUGCCGUUGAUACUAUCUGUCUUGAAUACCGUGGAGGUGAGCGGAAUAUGUCAUGUAGCGGUGAAAUGCUUAGAUAUGACAUAGAACACCAAUUGCGAAGGCAGCUCACUACACGAGCAUUGACUCUGAGGCACGAAAGCGUGGGGAUCAAA
Molecule: ribosomal RNA, 425 nt
Filed under: uncultured bacterium
Lineage: Bacteria
Description: bacterial SSU rRNA
Rfam family: Bacterial small subunit ribosomal RNA
Source: RNAcentral